GUAGGGCUUGGGUUGAUUUGAAAAUAUAGAAAUGAGUAGAAAUUCAUGAGGAAUAAAGACAACUAGAGUAUGUAAACAAAUAUGAUAGGAAGCAAAAUAAUGCAAGACAAACUUGUAAAUGCUACCUGUCAACUGUGUUUUCUGGAAAGUUGAAGAAAUUGAUAUUGUUUGUUUAUGUUUUGGUGUAGGGGAAUUUCAACCCAUAUCAUAUUGAAUUUUACUUGUGUGAGGCAGCAUCAUACUUAGGGUUGAUUUGCAUGAGACAAUUCAAAGCAGCAACAUUGUUGGAACUCAUUAAAUUUUAUUGAUUGAUUCACUGGAAGCAAACACUCAAGCAUACAGAAUGUAUGGGCCCAAAAUAACUUUAAACCCAGAGGUUUAAAGUUGUAAACCAUAUAGGCCUUUGACUCCAAAUUUAAAACUGCACUAAGCUUUCGCACACUAGUUGGAGAUGGCUUUGUGGAUCAUUUUUCUCUUUCCACUUGAUAUAGGUCUGCAUCUUCAAAAAGAUUUAGGGCCAUUUAAUCCUUUUCACUACUUCCUCCUGUGUCAUUCUAGGUUUGCUCUCACUUUCUGAUCUCUUAUGUAGAAAGAGAUG
Molecule: unclassified non-coding RNA, 598 nt
Filed under: Hevea brasiliensis (rubber tree)
Lineage: Eukaryota; Viridiplantae; Streptophyta; Magnoliopsida; Malpighiales; Euphorbiaceae
Source: RNAcentral